CUGGGGUGGAGCUAGGUCUUCUGAGGUGAAGCCAGAGCUCCUGCGGGUAGAGCCAGAGCUCCUGAGGGAAGCACCACACUUUCUAGAGGCAGUGCCCUGUACCCUAGGGCGGAGCCAGUGGAGGGGCGCCAGGCCUGGGGGCGGAGCCAGGUCAUGGCCUGGCUGGAGAAGGCAGACACAAAUGUGCCCGCCUUCAUAGCCCUUUCGCUGCUCAGGCCUGCUUUUCACGGGGCUGCCUCUGUGUCUCCAUCACAGUCUUAACCAUCUGGCCAGCCAGCACUUAAGAGAUCACGGCCCAAGCAAGUGCCUGGAGGGACUGGAGAAACAGCCUGGGCUCCAUCCCUGGGCGUCUGGUGACGUCACCCCAAGUCUCUGCACCCAGUGAAGGAUGCAGGCACGGCCCUGAGGGGCUGCGCCCCACCUGGGGGAGUCUGAGCUCCCGCACGGGGAGAAUGCACGGAACAGCGUGGUCCCCGCUGCCUCUGGGUGGAAUAGAACAACCUCUGAUCGGGGAGCGUGUCUGUGCCUCCGUGUCUCUGGGGAGACCUCGGGAGCCGGGGCAGCUGCUUGCCGCGGGGGGACCUGUCUGGAAGCCACAGAGCUCUCCCUCUCAUCUGGAGAAUGUGCACGGCCUCGGCUCCGCUCGGAUCCCCCAUGGAAGAAGGAAGCAGGCACGACAUGGAGGGAGGAGGCUCAAGGCAGCGUGGGCUCCUCUGUUCCUGCCAGCAGAGGUGGGGCCAUGCCAGGUGACAGGUGCUGAAUCACGGUGGGCGCUUGUGUUUCUCUGAUUUUAGAUGAACUGCAGCCCUUGGACCAAAACCCGGCCUCUGCUUGUUAUUGCAAAUAAAGUUUUAUUGGAACACAGCCACAGUGCUCAUUUGCCUCUUCUGGCUGGUUCUACUACCGCAGAGCCGUGCAUCUGCAAAACCAAAAACAUUCACUACCUGGCCCCCUACGGGAAAAGUCUGGCCUGAGUUACAUGUCUGACAGAACAAAUUAAAAAAGAACCUAAAUUACUCAUGGCUUCUUCUUGGACUGACUCUGCAAAGGCUUCCCUAACACAGAUUCGUGGGGAGGGUCUGGUGGGCACAUGAGAGUCCAUUAUGGCUUCAUGCUACUUUUGCAUAUGUUUGAAAGUCUCCACAAUAAAAAGUAUGUAAUAACAAAGAUAAAAUAUAUCAGUUUAAAAACCAAGUCGCCUGGGAGUGGUUAGAGUUGUGCCCGGGGUUCAAUCCCUGGUCUGGGAACGGAGAUUCCACAUCGAGCUGCUGCACAGCACAGCUAAGUAAAAAAAUAACCGUCACCUCAUCAUUGUGUCUCUACAGGAGGUCAGUCUUUUGAUUAUUUUAUUUUUGAACAACUGGUUUGGGGAAGGCAUCUCGUUCUGAAAUGACCUCAGACGGAGGGUAGAUAAGGGUCCUUACAGGGGAAGCAAGAAGAAAAGACACAAAAACUAACAUGAGUUUAGCAAGAAAAUUGAAUAGAUUUGGCAAAUCUAUGGAAAACAUCUGCAUAUGAGCCUGGGAAGGUGGUAACAGUGGGGGUACCUGGGGAAUGGAAGGGGGAAAAUCUUUGCAAAGGCGGCCUUGGGCCUUCAUGUGAAAGCGCUUGGGUCAUGCUUGCACAGCCCGCCGCGCCGCCCGGCGCCUCUUCCAGGCUGGCCACCCUCCUGGCUUCUACUUCACCGAUGAGUCAGGGCGCCUCAGAGCCGCUGGCUUCGUGCCAGCGAGGGUCAUCCUUCUGCCCAGAUCGGGUUGGUUCACUUCCUCCCUGCAGAGUGGAACUGGGAUGUUGCAGACUCUUCCUAGGCUUAAUGUAGUUUCUCACUUUCCUACAGCAAACAUAUUUUCCAUAAUGAAACAUUUAAAACAAAACAAAACAAAGCAAAACCCAGAGGGGAAAAAGAAACGCAAGGGGAAUUCAAGGAAUUGCAAGGAGAAGUCAAACACCAGCCACAAAAACGGCACAGUCUUGGGGCUUCUGGUCCAGGGACAGCUUCAAAACGUGUAAUUUCUGGCCAAGGCCAGCCUGUCUGUCGGCCAAGUCGGGGGAACAUGGGCAGCUGCCACCGCAGGCGACGUCCUCCCCGGUCCCGUGAUCCGCCAGGAGCCGGGGCGGGGGGUGGCGGGGGGGCGCUCCUUUGCUCCCUGGGGGCGCUGCUCCCAGGCUUUUGGGGUCCAGCCGUUUUCUUUCCCCCAAAGCAGCAGUGGGGAAGAAGGAAACCGCCCUCAGAAGAACGAAUGGUUAGGCGGGAGGUGCCUUGGGCAGUGGGCACCGCCCAGCACGCUGUGGGCAGAGGCUCACUUCCUGGUGACCGUUGGCGAAAGGCCAGGGCUUGUGCAGACUCUUGGUGAUGGUUCUGCGGUUUGGAGACCAGGUGGGGUCCUCCAAGUAGGUCUGAACCCACAUCUGUCACCUAAGGCAAUGUUAGCUGUCGGGGCGGGGGGGUCACUUCUCUCCCUGGAUCCUUUGUCCCGACUGUAAAGCAAACAAAGAGACCAGAUGCUUCUGGGGUUUCUUGCCCUCCCAGGCUGUGAAGAAGCCAGGACAAAAGGAAACUCGGGGGCGGGGGGAGACGUCACUCUGCUGUGUGGCUCACAACGGAAAAAAAUGUUUGUUUACAUUUUCAAAUACAAGCCUCCCAGGCUCAGGGUGUGGGCUCAGAGGCAGGCAGUCUGGUUUUACACCCUGCCCCCCACCCCCAACUACCAGCUGUGUGGCUUCACAAAAAUUGGAGCUCCCGUCGUGGCACAUCGGAAAUGAAUCCGAUUAGGAACCAUGAGGUUGCAGGUUCGAGCCCUGGCCUCACUAAGUGGGUUAAGGAUCCAGCAGUGCCGUGAGUUUUGGUGUAGGUCGCAGACGCGGCUUGGUUCUGGUGUUGCUGUGGCUGUGGUGUAGACUGGUGUCUACAGCUCCGAUUCGGCCCUUAGUCUGGGAACUUGCACAUGCUGUGGGUGCGGCCCUAAAAAGACAAAAACAAACAAACAAAAAACAUUGCUUUGCUUUUCUGGGCCUCAGUUUCCUCAUCUGCAAAGUGGGGAUAAUGGUAGGCCCUCCUUACGUGGUUGUUGUGAGGUUGAGCAGGUAAUGUGUGUAAAGCUCUUAGGACAGCAAGGGGCCCAUGAGCAGUGCUCAGUAACUAUUAUCAGGUGUGGAACACACGCAUACACGUGUGGCCCACACAGUAGAGUGUUUGUUAUUCAGCAGCGAAAAGGAAUGAAGGCAAACCUACCAGAUGGGAGAAAAUAUUUGCAAAUCAUAUAUUUGAUAAGGUGUUAAUAUCCAAAAUGUAUAAAGAACACAUAUGACUCAAUAUCAAAAAGCAAACAAUCCAAUUUAAAAAUAGGGUAUCUCAAUAGACAGUUUCCCAAAGAGGACAUGCAGGGGGCCAACAGGUACACGGACAGAUGCUCAGCAUCUUAACACGGCAUCGUAAAUCAACUGUCCUUCAAUGACACUUAAAAAAUAAAAUAAAAGAUGCUCGCCAUCACCAACUAUCAAGGGAAUGCAGAUCAAAACCACAGGGGGACGGCUGUGGUGUAGACCAGCAGCUGCAGCUCUGACUGGACCCCUAGUCUGGGAACUUCCUUACGCCACAGGUGCAGCCCUAAAAAAAAAA
This 3619-nucleotide long non-coding RNA is filed under the name Sus scrofa (pig). Its description in RNAcentral is "lncRNA (ENSSSCG00045012258.1)". Lineage: Eukaryota; Metazoa; Chordata; Mammalia; Artiodactyla; Suidae. The record is from RNAcentral.